GCUAGCGAUAUACUGUUAGUGCCUAAGCGAAAGCGAUAAGUAAUCCACCUGGGGAGUACGGUCGCAAGAUUGAAACUCAAAGGAAUUGACGGGGGCCCGCACAAGCGGUGGAGCAUGUGGUUUAAUUCGAUGAUACGCGAGGAACCUUACCUGGGCUUAAAUGUAUUUUGACAGACUGGGAAACCAGUCCUUCUUCGGACAAUUUACAAGGUGCUGCAUGGUUGUCGUCAGCUCGUGCUGUGAGGUGUCGGGUUAAGUCCCAUAACGAGCGCGACCCCUAUCCUUAGUUGCCAGCGAGUAAUGUCGGGGACUCUAGGGAAACUGCCGGUGCAAACCGUGAGGAAGGUGGGGAUGACGUCAAAUCAUCACGGCCCUUACGUCCAGGGCUACACACGUGCUACAAUGGCGGAUACAAAGGGCAGCUACAUGGUGACAUGAUGCUAAUCUCGAAAGUCCGUCUCAGUUCGGAUCGAAGUCUGCAACUCGAUUCGUGAAGCUGGAAUCGCUAGUAAUCGGAUAUCAGCAAUGAUCCGGUGAAUACGUUCCCGGGCCUUGUACACACCGCCCGUCAAGCCAUGGAAGCUGGGAGUGCCUGAAGUC
This 600-nucleotide ribosomal RNA is filed under the name uncultured bacterium. RNAcentral describes it as "bacterial SSU rRNA". It matches the Rfam family "Bacterial small subunit ribosomal RNA", at positions 822 to 1428 of the family's 1533-position model. The record is from RNAcentral.